Molecule: long non-coding RNA, 486 nt
Organism: Spinacia oleracea (spinach)
Lineage: Eukaryota; Viridiplantae; Streptophyta; Magnoliopsida; Caryophyllales; Amaranthaceae
Exons: 2
Source: RefSeq, a predicted model, not a curated record
CCUGGGAUGAAAAAGGUCGGACGAAGAUUACCCAAAUAUUAAUAUCUUAUGGAACCAACUACAUUAACUCCUUGCAAUUUCAAUAUGCUGAAGAUGGAAAAUUGGUGCUUUCAGAGUUGCAUGGGAGGCAUAUUGGUGGAACCUUCAAAAUGGAGUCAUUACAACUCAAUGGAAGGGAAUUCAUCAUAGGGCUGACUGGUUACCAUGAGUCCGGUUAUGUAAAAUCUUUAACAAUCAAAACGAAUCUAUGGAAGUAUGGACCAUUUGGGCGUGAUAAUUCAAGAGACUCUUCCGGCAGUUUUAACUUGAAGUUUGGGCCGGGUAAUCGUUUCGGCGGGUUCCAUGGUUGUUUCUCAAGUGAUGCGCAGCUCACCUCCAUUGGAGUUUAUAUCAAGCCUACUCAUAGCUAGGUUGGUGAAUGGUGUCAAAUGUUUGCUGAUUCAUUUCAGAGGCCGGUCUUCUAUUCUCAGUAUUGCUUAUUGCUUA